RNAcentral lists this ribosomal RNA (253 nucleotides) under uncultured bacterium. Its description in RNAcentral is "partial 16S ribosomal RNA". It matches the Rfam family "Bacterial small subunit ribosomal RNA", at positions 524 to 776 of the family's 1533-position model. The record is from RNAcentral.
UACGUAGGGGGCAAGCGUUGUCCGGAUUUAUUGGGCGUAAAGAGCGUGUAGGCGGCCAGGUAGGUCCGUUGUGAAAACUCGAGGCUCAACCUCGAGACGCCGAUGGAAACCAUCUGGCUAGAGUCCGGAAGAGGAGAGUGGAAUUCCCGGUGUAGCGGUGAAAUGCGCAGAUAUCGGGAAGAACACCGGUGGCGAAGGCGACCCGCUGGCCAGCGACUGACACUGAGACGCGAAAGCGUGGGGAGCAAACAGG